This 88-nucleotide signal recognition particle RNA is filed under the name Shewanella hanedai. Its description in RNAcentral is "Bacterial small signal recognition particle RNA". It matches the Rfam family "Bacterial small signal recognition particle RNA". From Rfam's summary of the family: The signal recognition particle (SRP) is a universally conserved ribonucleoprotein involved in the co-translational targeting of proteins to membranes. Archaeal SRP consists of a 7S RNA and homologues of the eukaryotic SRP19 and SRP54 proteins. The record is from RNAcentral. Lineage: Bacteria; Pseudomonadati; Pseudomonadota; Gammaproteobacteria; Alteromonadales; Shewanellaceae.
GGGUCCCCCCGCAAUGAUAACUUGUGAACUCGGCCAGACCCGGAAGGGAGCAACCGCAGCAGGCGACUCAUGUGCCGGGGUGUGGCUC